This 343-nucleotide unclassified non-coding RNA is filed under the name soil metagenome. RNAcentral describes it as "partial contains 5.8S ribosomal RNA, internal transcribed spacer 2, and large subunit ribosomal RNA". The stretch from base 1 to 120 matches the Rfam family "5.8S ribosomal RNA", at positions 35 to 154 of the family's 154-position model. The record is from RNAcentral.
GAUGAAGAUCGUAGCGAAAUGCGAUAAGUAAUGUGAAUUGCAGAAUUCAGUGAAUCAUCGAAUCUUUGAACGCACAUUGCGCCCGCUAGUAUUCUGGCGGGCAUGCCUGUCCGAGCGUCAUUUCAACCCUCAAGCCCCCGGGCUUGGUGUUGGGGAUCGGCGAGCCUCCGCGCCCGCCGUCCCCUAAAUCUAGUGGCGGUCUCGCUGUAGCUUCCUCUGCGUAGUAGCACACCUCGCACUGGGAAACAGCGCGGCCACGCCGUUAACCCCCCAACUUCUGAACGUUUGACCUCGGAUCAGGUAGGAAUACCCGCUGAACUUGAGCAUAUCAAUAAGCGGAGGA